Molecule: ribosomal RNA, 514 nt
Filed under: Caryophanales bacterium
Lineage: Bacteria; Bacillati; Bacillota; Bacilli; Caryophanales
Description: bacterial SSU rRNA
Rfam family: Bacterial small subunit ribosomal RNA
Source: RNAcentral
GGUACUAAUACCGGAUACGUUCUUUUCUCGCAUGAGAGAAGAUGGAAAGACGGKUUACGCUGUCWCUUAUAUAUGGGCCCGCGGCGCAUUAUCUAGUUGGUGAGGKAAUGGCUCACCAAGGCGACGAUGCGUAGCCGACMUGGGAGGGUGAUCGGCCACACUGGGACUGAGACACGGCCCACACUCCUACGGGAGGCAGCAGUAGGGAAUCUUCCSCAAUGGACRAAAGUCUGACRGAGCAACGCCSCGUGAACGAAAAARGCCUUCGGGUCGUAAAGUUCUGUUGUUAGGGAAGAACAAGUACCAUAUUWACUGCUGGUACCUUGACGGUACCUAACCAGAAAGCCACGGCUAACUACGUGCCAGCAGCCGCGGUAAUACGUAGGUGGCAAGCGUUGUCCGGAAUUAUUGGGGGUAAAGCGCGCGCAGGUGGUUCCUUAAGUCUGAUGUGAAAGCCCACGGCUCAACCGUGGAGGGUCAUUGGAAACUGGGGAACUUGAGUGCAGAAGAGGAA